RNAcentral lists this unclassified non-coding RNA (875 nucleotides) under Entoloma bryorum. RNAcentral's name for it is "sequence contains ITS1, 5.8S rRNA gene and ITS2". The stretch from base 235 to 388 matches the Rfam family "5.8S ribosomal RNA". The record is from RNAcentral. Lineage: Eukaryota; Fungi; Basidiomycota; Agaricomycetes; Agaricales; Entolomataceae.
UUGAAUAAACUUGGUUGGGUUGUUGCUGGCUUUCAGGAGCAUGUGCACGCUCAUUCCAUCUUUUUUAACCACCUGUGCACCCACUGUAGGCUUGAAAUGAACCUUUCGAGGAAACUCGGUUUGAGAACUGUUAGAAGCUGUUCUUACAUUUCAGGUCUAUGUUUUUAAACAUAUACUCCAUAAACAAGUCAAGGAAUGUUAAUUAUUGGCCUCAUGUGCCUUUAAACCUAAUACAACUUUCAACAACGGAUCUCUUGGCUCUCGCAUCGAUGAAGAACGCAGCGAAAUGCGAUAAGUAAUGUGAAUUGCAGAAUUCAGUGAAUCAUCGAAUCUUUGAACGCACCUUGCGCUCCUUGGUAUUCCGAGGAGCAUGCCUGUUUGAGUGUCAUGAAAUUCUCAACCUCUCUGGCUUUCAUUAGCUGGUCAGGUUUGGAUUGUGGGAGUUUGCUGGCUUUUUCGGAGAUCAGCUCUUCUUAAACACAUUAGCAAAAAUUCUUGCUGAACAUCUUUGGUAUGAUAAUUAUCUAUAUCAUAGAAACACAGCUUUUUCCACUUUGUUCGGAUUAGGCUCCUCUUGGAUCCAUCCAAGUGUUCGACUCAACCGCUCUGAAGCACCAGCUUAGGCACAGAUGUUAGAUCGUCUGAUGGUGUUACAUACUUCAGGUUGACGAAGCGAGGCGUUCUUCGGAGCGCUCACGAGAGCAAGCACUGUAUCAAUUUCUUUUUGAGAUUGUUGGUGCACUGUCAUAUUCCUGUACCUACCCUAGCUACUAUGUGGCUUUGAUGGGUCUGGUCAAACCAUGACCUGAACAUAUUCUUAGUGGUGAAGGAUCUUGCUUCUAAUUAUUGUUCCAAGGAACAUAUCUUUUGACAAU